AACUCGUGCCAGCAGCAGCGGUAAUACGAGUGCCUCGAGCGUUAUCCGGAAUUAUUGGGCGUAAAGGGUGUGUAGGCGGUAGUGUUAGUCUUGUGUUAAAUCUCUUGGCUCAACCGAGAGUCUGCACGGGAAACGGCACAACUAAGAGGAUGGAAGGGGUCUCUGGAACUCAUGGUGUAGCGGUGAAAUGCGUUGAUAUCAUGGGGAACACCAAAAGCGAAGGCAAGAGACUGGCCCGCUCCUGACGCUGAAACACGAAAGCGUGGGUCGCGAAUGGGAUUAGAUACCCCAGUAGUCCACGCCCUAAACGAUGAUCUCUAGAUUUGGGGAGUAUCGACCCUCUCCGAGUCGUAGCAAACGCGUUAAGAGAUCCGCCUGGGUAGUACGGCCGCAAGGUUGAAACUCAAAGGAAUAGACGGGGACUUGCACAAGCGGUGGAACAUGUGGUUCAAUUCGACGCUAAACGAAGAACCUUACCAGGGUUAGAAAUCCAUUCGAAGACUGGCAGAAACGUCAGUCGCCGCAAGGCGGAUGGACAGGUGCUGCAUGGCUGUCGUCAGUUCGUG
RNAcentral lists this ribosomal RNA (566 nucleotides) under Candidatus Taylorbacteria bacterium RIFCSPHIGHO2_12_FULL_45_16. RNAcentral's name for it is "bacterial SSU rRNA". It matches the Rfam family "Bacterial small subunit ribosomal RNA", at positions 500 to 1064 of the family's 1533-position model. The record is from RNAcentral. Lineage: Bacteria; Candidatus Tayloriibacteriota.